RNAcentral lists this unclassified non-coding RNA (255 nucleotides) under Borreliella garinii. RNAcentral describes it as "partial 5S-23S ribosomal RNA intergenic spacer". The record is from RNAcentral. Lineage: Bacteria; Pseudomonadati; Spirochaetota; Spirochaetia; Spirochaetales; Borreliaceae.
CUGCGAGUUCGCGGGAGAGUAAGUUAUUGCCAGGGUUUUUAUUUUAUACUUUAAACAUUGAUUUUAUUUUUUAUGUUUUUAGAUGUUCAUGUUUUUGAAUGUUUUAUUCAAAUAAUAUAAAAAAUAAAAUAUAUAUAUUGACAUGGAUUAAACAAAGAUAUAUAUUAUUCUAUGUUGUAUAAACAAAUUGGCAAAAUAGAGAUGGAAGAUAAAAAUAUGGUCAAAGUAAUAAGAGUCUAUGGUGAAUGCCUAGGA